UCCUCCUGGGCAUAGGCGCAUCCAGACUCCUCCCCGAGCUCGUAAACAGAGAAGCCCAGACCGUCGAGUUUAGUGAGGCUCCCCUCCCAGGAGAUUCCACAUCUACGCCCCUCUCAACGCAUCGAAAACUCAAGUGCUGAUGGAGGUCAGGAAGCAGCUCCCAAGGUCGGAGAGGAUACGCUCACACCCUGGAAAGUGCAACCUGAAUAAAUUCUGCCUCUAUCAUCGUGACCAUGGCCACGAUACGGAGGAGUAUAUUCAGCUCCGAGACGAGAUCGAGGAGCUUAUCAGACGAGGUUGGCUCGACAGAUUCAUUCGAUGCUGACCUGAAGGAAGGGAAGAUCGACCUAGGGCCCUGCCGCAGUCGGAACCGCCAAGGAGCGAGGAGCAGCCAGA
This 396-nucleotide long non-coding RNA is filed under the name Elaeis guineensis (African oil palm). RNAcentral's name for it is "long non-coding RNA (EGUI_LNC082929)". Lineage: Eukaryota; Viridiplantae; Streptophyta; Magnoliopsida; Arecales; Arecaceae. The record is from RNAcentral.